This 300-nucleotide ribosomal RNA is filed under the name uncultured Nocardia sp. Its description in RNAcentral is "partial 16S ribosomal RNA". The stretch from base 53 to 300 matches the Rfam family "Bacterial small subunit ribosomal RNA", at positions 548 to 795 of the family's 1533-position model. The record is from RNAcentral. Lineage: Bacteria; Bacillati; Actinomycetota; Actinomycetes; Mycobacteriales; Nocardiaceae.
AGAAACGUUGUGCCAGCGGCGGGGGUAAGUGGGGGGGGGGGGGAGGUAGUGUGAGUUGCAGGGCGUAAAGGGUGCGUGGGCGUUAGAGUAAGUGUGAUGUGAAAGCCACGGGCUUAAGCUGGGAAGUGCAUCGCAAACUAAUUGACUAGAGUAUAUGAGAGGGUGUCGGAAUUGCCGGUGUAGCGGUGAAAAGCGUAGAGAUCGGAAGGAACGUCGAUGGCGAAGGCAGACACCUGGCAUAAUACUGACGCGGAGGCGCGAAAGCGUGGGGAGCGAACAGGAUUAGAUACCCUAGUAGUC